UCACUCCUCUGCCUCUGCAAGAGAAAAGCCCAAGGGCCUAGGUAAACAAUGGACAGCAUCCUGGAUGAUGAUGCAAUUUUAAGCCUGAAAAGAAUAUUUGGUCUUCAAUCUUGGCAAGCAUACCUGUAAAGUAGAUGGUAAGGCUGCUGAUGAGAACCAUUUGAGUAAUCAAGUCAUAGCUGGAAUGUGACUGCCUGGCUGAUCUUCCAAGGUCCCCUUGCAUCUAUGUGUGGCCUUAUGAAUCAAUCCUUGCCAAUGGAAAGUGAAUGGAAGUGAUGUGUGUCAGUCCCAGGACUGACCAUAGACCUCCUGCAUGUGCUCCUUUAUGCUAUUUCUUCAGUUCAGGGUGGGAAUGGGAAUGCCCAGAGCAACUUUGGAAGCUAUAUGCUGAGGAUGCUAGAACUGCCAUCAGCCUGGGACCCUGAACAACUGUAUGAAACCAGGUACCUGUGGGUGGGAAAAAAACUGGCUGGAACUAUUAGAUGAAA
Molecule: long non-coding RNA, 488 nt
Filed under: Homo sapiens (human)
Lineage: Eukaryota; Metazoa; Chordata; Mammalia; Primates; Hominidae
Description: HSALNT0364505
Source: RNAcentral